AUAUAUAUAUAUAUAAGCACACACACACAAACACACACACCAUGCGCCUAACUAGCCCAUCCAGCUAGUAAUAUUAAGGCAAGAUGGCUAAAAAGUUGCUCUAUAAUUUUGUUGCAUGUUAUCCAAGAUGAAAGUAUUUUAUUGUUCAGAUAAUACUAUAUAAACGAAAAAAAUAAAGAUGUCAAGUCUCCAUUAAUAAGAAAAAUAUUGGGGUCCUAUAAAUGCAACAUUAAGGGACUGUCACAAAAAGAGGCCUGUGUGCUUCCUUAGUUGUAUAUAUAUGGAAAUAGAUAGUAAGGUCUUCAAGAAGAAUGUUGUUUUCAAUGCUGUAAUUUGAUAUAGCACCCAUGACUAUUUUAAAAACAAAUACUGAUAUAAUUUUUUGUAGUAAGUCCUUGAGUAGCAGUGGGUGAACAAGUCUUGCAGUCAGUUAGUUCUGUCAGUUUUGCAGGACUUGGAAAAAUUGAACUCACAGAUGAUGAUUUCAGACCAGAAAAAGUAUAACUCAGUUUUGAAUACUUUAGGCUGAAAUUAAAUGUGCAACUAAGUUCUGAAUAUUUUAAAGUUUAAAAAUUGGAACUCCUGAGUAUUUGAGGCUAGAAAAGGUAUAAUUUUUAAUACUUAAGGCUAGAGGUGGAACUCAAAUAUUCAAGGCUAGAGAAACUAAUUCACUUGAAUACUGAAGGCUUGAUCAGGUGGAAUAUCCAUUUGAAUAUUAAUGGUUCUUUGUAUCCUGCUGUUGAUGCUAGAUUUUACCUUCAAAACAGUAGUUCCUCUUCUCCCAUAGCUUUUUUAUUUUUAUUUAUUUAUUAUUUUUUUUUUUUAAACAUUGCCACCUAUGCCGCCUAUAGACUUCCUUGAAAGGGCCUGAUAGUUGGCCCAGCCCAUUGUGGCGUAGGCAAGUGUUUAUAGUGGUGCAAUCUUCUUUGGCUCAUGCUGUACUCUUGGAGCUCAUUGUUGACCCUCUCUUUAUUAGAGAGAUAAUCUAAAGUCUGGGUUGAUAGGUGGUCAUUUGGAUAGCAUGUGGGUAGUCUUAUGGCCCUCGGCAGGGACCGAAAAAUCCCAGCUUGUGUCACCAGGCAGUGCGCGAACCUGUGUUGUCCUGGACACAGCACUGUCAUGUUAUACACUCAGCCUCUGCAACUGCUUGACCAAUAACCUAUACAUUAGUUAUUUAAUUUGCAAUCUAAGCAAAAUUCAUCCCAAGUUUGAAUGAAUAAGAAACAUUUUAUACAUGGCUCAUGCAAAAAAUACUUUUGUUACAUCAGAAAAUUUAUAAUGUAAAACCUUGGUUUGCUUCUUUUAGUAAUGAAAAGAAAAUAGAAUGUACAGAGUCCCACUCUGCCUGGCAUGACAAAUGAAGUAGUUGGUGGUAAUGGUCAUGGUGGUAACAAAAUAUAUGAAUCUUGAGGUGCUGUUAGCACAUUCAUGCUUGUCGAGAAGUGGCUUGGAAGAGUGAAAUAUUUGAAGUUUUCCAAUAAGGAUGAGACUUGUGUAGGUGGUGAUUUAAUGUUUGAUGAGGGAAUUUAGGGUUGGCAGGUCAGUGUAUGACUCAAUAACUACUGAAAACAUAAACACUCAACAUUAUUUUAUUACUAUCUGUAAAUGGUUUUACUCAUUUAAUGUACAUUAUAUUGCUGAAGUCGGGGUUUUGAGGGAACAAUCGUUUCAUGAUUCAGGGUUUCUUUAACCCACUGUGUGGUUGUGCUCCUGCAAUCAAAGUACUCUGUAUACAAUUUUUAUGGUUACUCUACUGUACUUGUUUUGCUUUAAAGGCAAGUUUUAGCUUGGAAAGUACAGUACAUUAAAUACUGUAAAUAUUGCGUGUAAUAACUGUAAAAGCAAAUCACAGCUUAAAUUUUAUUGAGAAUAUUUUGUCAAUAUAUUCCUCUAUCAUAAUAAAACAUAAAGCCCUACUAGCUUUUCAGAAACAUUGUAAAUUUUGUUGUGAAACACACGUUACUGUAGUAAAGCACAAACGUAAUGUAAUUCUGCUUGUGCAUUGCCACGUGCCAAAGUAAUGCAGGAUGGGCUGGGCAUUUUAUGGGUGUGUCUAGGAACUUGACUGUAAAAUUACUGUCUGUUGUUACAGGAAACUGAGCAUACUGGAAAUGUGUUCAGAGAUUUUCUGUACUAAUUCUGUGGAUGUAUAGUCCUUCACCAGCCCAGAUCAUCACUGAUGCUAAAUAAUUCUUAUUUAUGCAGUGUUAUGAUGCUGGAAACUAGUGCCUGAAGUCCUAUAAUGGAAGUAGGGAUAAGGAAUAUUACCUCUUAUGAUAACUUUUAUGAUUUUUUUUUUUUUUUUUUUUUUUUUUUUUUACAAAGCCAAGUGUGAUGGAACUGUUUCCAUCACUUGCAGACAUGGAAGCGUACAUUUUACACUCUAAAUUUGAAAGAAGUGUAAUGGCAUGUGAAAAUAAUGGGUGAUGAAAGAUACGGAAGGAGGUGAAGAAAUUUGUUGAAUAAAUGACAGAUGGAAAAUCCUGCAUUGACUAGUUUUUUACCUGAAUAAAAUGUUGGUUACUUUUUUUGUGUCACUCACGGAAACUCUGUUGCCAUUCUGGGCUGAAUGACAACAUCUCAUUGGUGUGAGUGAGAAAGGCACAAACUGUGAUAUUCAUUUUUAUUUCUUAUAAUUUUCUAUAAUGUAGCUUAUUUACUGUGCUGAGCCAUAGAUUUAUUUUAAUCAUUAGACUGCUAGAAAUAUACCAGCUGUCACUUGACAUGUUCAUGUUGAGCCAACAGAGUAUCAUGAUAGGUAAAGCUGGGAGUUAUUAUGUAUACUACACACUGGCAUAGGCAACAACAACAAAUAUUUUGGACCUUCAGCAUAAGUAUUGUGGGCAGUGGGGUGGUUGGCUACAAGGUAAGCCUGCUCGUAGCUGCCAGGUGUUAUUUGGGGUCACUAACUCUAGUGGUGCAGUUAUAUGUGCUCCUUUUCAAAUAUUAGUACUGUUUUUUGCUAUUUGAGGAAACAACUUUUCCUAUACAGAUGUGAAAAGUUGGCUUGGAUAACUACUUAUUACAUCUGAAGGCCACAGUGAUACUCAAGGCGAGUGGUUUCAGUGGCUUCAUGUCAUUGCGCCGAGUACGUGCCACUGCCACUGUGACACACGGGCGGCUGUGUCCAGAAUGGAGGUUAAAGAAUGCCGAUAGGUAAAGGAAGAAUAUUUUGUUUGUUGACAUUUGGCCUGGCGGAGCAGCGGAGACUUUUGGGCCAAUCAGGAGGCGUCGCUGACCCGCCCGGCCAAUGGCGGCGGCGGGCACAGGGCGGCUGGGCGCGCGUCGCCAUGGCAACGCGUCAGCAGUGGUGCCGAGAGGAGGGAGUCCGUGAUGGUGGCGGGCGGCAAAGUGACCUAAAGAACAGUUUCCAGGCCGCCAGGAGGGGUUACAGUCAGUCAGAGUACCGUAUGAAUUGUCGAGCGAAAACUCCAUCGAGGAAUAAGUGUCGUGGGGGCAAGGAAUAAAGUUACAGUGAGUUUAUUUAAGUUUGGAAGUUUGUGUCGCCGCGGCCGUGUGCUCACCUGUCUCGGCACCUGCGGGGAGCAAGGUGCAGGUGCGCCCUCACGCCCCCACGCCCCACGGGCCGCCGCUGCCUGAGAAGGAAGAAGUUCGGGCCACGCCGCUCUACCCUCGCCCUGCACAGCCCUCCAACAGACGCACAGCCGACCUACAAACACCCCGACAGGCACCGGAGUCCCUCAGACAACACACAGGCAUCUGACCUCGCGCCACCCCCCUGACAGACAGCCUGACCUCCGCCAACAACCCAACCGCAUCAUUCAACAGACCCAGACAAACAGACAGCCCAAUUUACGCCCCUGCAGACACACAAACACACAGACUACCCCAAUAAAAUCCCCCCUGGAGCCUUUACCGUCGGACUCCUAAAGCCACAGAGACAUAAACAGAUAGACACACAUACAGUCAUUGCCGCAGGAACUUCAACUGCGUUCCCGACAGUCUUAGACACCGACAGCUAUCUACCGACAGCCCUUUACCGACAGCAGGAGGAUGAGUGAGGCGGACAUGCCGUGGUCAUACAACAACAAGAACAACAGCAACAACAUGAACAACUGGAUGAGUAACACCACCAACGGAGGAGGAGGAGGAGGA
This is a long non-coding RNA of Eriocheir sinensis (Chinese mitten crab), 4116 nucleotides long. RefSeq lists it as uncharacterized. The record is from RefSeq and is a predicted model, not a curated record. NCBI's taxonomy places the organism in Eukaryota, Metazoa, Arthropoda, Malacostraca, Decapoda, Varunidae. The transcript has 3 exons.